GGUUUUCGGAUUGUAAACCUCUGUGGACAGGGACGAUAAUGACGGUACCUGUUUAGAAAGCCACGGCUAACUACGUGCCAGCAGCCGCGGUAAUACGUAGGUGGCGAGCGUUGUCCGGAAUUACUGGGUGUAAAGGGAGUGUAGGCGGGAAGGCAAGUCAGAAGUGAAAAUUAUGGGCUUAACCCAUAACCUGCUUUUGAAACUGUUUUUCUUGAGUGAGGCAGAGGCAAGCGGAAUUCCUAGUGUAGCGGUGAAAUGCGUAGAUAUUAGGAGGAACACCAGUGGCGAAGGCGGCUUGCUGGGCUUUUACUGACGCUGAGGCUCGAAAGCGUGGGGAGCAAACAGGAUUAGAUACCCUGGUAGUCCACGCCGUAAACGAUGAUUACUAGGUGUGGGGAGUUGAACCUUUCCGUGCCGGAGUUAACACAAUAAGUAAUCCACCU
This 443-nucleotide ribosomal RNA is filed under the name uncultured bacterium. RNAcentral's name for it is "bacterial SSU rRNA". It matches the Rfam family "Bacterial small subunit ribosomal RNA", at positions 413 to 874 of the family's 1533-position model. The record is from RNAcentral.